This 356-nucleotide ribosomal RNA is filed under the name uncultured bacterium. RNAcentral describes it as "bacterial SSU rRNA". It matches the Rfam family "Bacterial small subunit ribosomal RNA", at positions 542 to 895 of the family's 1533-position model. The record is from RNAcentral.
UAUCCGGAAUUAUUGGGCGUAAAGGGCUCGUAGGCGGUUCGUCGCGUCCGGUGUGAAAGUCCAUCGCUUAACGGUGGAUCCGCGCCGGGUACGGGCGGGCUUGAGUGCGGUAGGGGAGACUGGAAUUCCCGGUGUAACGGUGGAAUGUGUAGAUAUCGGGAAGAACACCAAUGGCGAAGGCAGGUCUCUGGGCCGUUACUGACGCUGAGGAGCGAAAGCGUGGGGAGCGAACAGGAUUAGAUACCCUGGUAGUCCACGCCGUAAACGGUGGAUGCUGGAUGUGGGGCCCGUUCCACGGGUUCCGUGUCGGAGCUAACGCGUUAAGCAUCCCGCCUGGGGAGUACGGCCGCAAGGCU